AAUUAAUAAAUCAUUAGAUGGUGAGCUGUAAACUCAUAUUAGAUGCACUUUUAACCU
RNAcentral lists this transfer RNA (57 nucleotides) under Selenops bursarius. Its description in RNAcentral is "tRNA-Tyr". Lineage: Eukaryota; Metazoa; Arthropoda; Arachnida; Araneae; Selenopidae. The record is from RNAcentral.